GCGAUAUAUACAGUGAUCGCCAUCACCAGUGGUUCCUGCCUUGCUUUCCUUGCGGUAGUAUCUUCUGUAGCAGCUUGCGUCAAUCGUUGCUGUCUCCAAAAUGGAAAAGGAGAAUAUGGUCUCAGAGGUGAGGUGACAGAACGUGAUGACCAAGCUUCAUAUUAUUCAACGAUCAACGAGGACGAAAUUACUAAUGCAUAUGAGCGACCACUCAGAAAGCAUACACCAAUGUACCUGCAACUAGUACUAGCAGAGGAU
This is a long non-coding RNA of Haliotis rubra (blacklip abalone), 258 nucleotides long. RefSeq lists it as uncharacterized. The record is from RefSeq and is a predicted model, not a curated record. NCBI's taxonomy places the organism in Eukaryota, Metazoa, Mollusca, Gastropoda, Lepetellida, Haliotidae. The transcript is spliced from 3 exons.